RNAcentral lists this ribosomal RNA (438 nucleotides) under uncultured prokaryote. Its description in RNAcentral is "partial 16S ribosomal RNA". The record is from RNAcentral.
CCCUCUGGGGUGCCGGUCGGGCAUUCCGUGCAUCACCACUUCACGAAGCAGGUGGAUCCCUUCCUCCGCAAAGGAGAUCCGACGAGCGGCCUGUUGCCCGGGAUCGAGGCUGCGGCUCCGGAGGCGGAUGGCAGUGGAGACCGCAAGGUACAGGCCUACAAUUUCCGCAUGUGCACGACGGAUGUGCCGGAGAAUCGGCGCGCCUGGGAGAAGCCGGCCGAUUACGACCCUCAAUGGUUCGAACUGCUCUUGAGAAAUUGCGAGGCCGGCGACGAACGCAUACCCUGGAAUCCGGUGUGGAUGCCGAAUCGGAAGACCGAUACGAACAAUAAUUUCGCCGUCAGCACCGAUUUCAUCGGGCAAAAUUUCGAUUAUACGGAGGCGGAUUACGCCACACGGGCGCGCAUCUGGAAGGCGCACGAGGAUGGGCGGGAGAGC